CUGGGUUCAGAACGUCGUGAGACAGUUCGGUCCCUAUCCGUCGUGGGCGCAGGAAAUUUGAGAGGAGCUGUCCUUAGUACGAGAGGACCGGGAUGGACGCACCGCUGGUGUACCAGUUGUCUUGCCAAAGGCAUCGCUGGGUAGCUAUGUGCGGAAGGGAUAAGUGCUGAAAGCAUCUAAGCAUGAAGCCCCCCUCGAGAUGAGAUUUCCCAUCACUUUAUGUGAGUAAGAUCCCUGAAAGAUGAUCAGGUAGAUAGGUCUGAGGUGGAAGCGUGGUGACACGUGCAGCUGACAGAUACUAAUCGAUCGAGGACUUAACCACAGU
Molecule: ribosomal RNA, 325 nt
Filed under: Rossellomorea vietnamensis
Lineage: Bacteria; Bacillati; Bacillota; Bacilli; Caryophanales; Bacillaceae
Description: Bacillus vietnamensis partial 23S ribosomal RNA
Rfam family: Bacterial large subunit ribosomal RNA
Source: RNAcentral